Molecule: ribosomal RNA, 406 nt
Filed under: uncultured bacterium
Lineage: Bacteria
Description: partial 16S ribosomal RNA
Rfam family: Bacterial small subunit ribosomal RNA
Source: RNAcentral
AUUGAACGCUGGCGGCAUGCCUAACACAUGCAAGUCGAACGAGUGGCGGACGGGUGAGUAAUGUCUGGGAAAGUGCCUCAUGGAGGGGGAUAACUACUGGAAACGGUAGCUAAUACCGCAUACCAUCAGAUGUGCCCAGAUGGGAUUAGCUAGUUGGUGGGGUAACGGCUCACCAAGGCGACGAUCCCUAGCUGGUCUGAGAGGAUGACCAGCCACACUGGAACUGAGACACGGCCCAGACUCCUACGGGAGGCAGCAGUGGGGAAUAUUGCACAAUGGGGGCAAGCCUGAUGCAGCCAUGCCGCGUGUAUGAAGAAGGCCUUCGGGUUGUAAAGUACUUUUAGCGGGGAGGCGGUACCCGCAGAAGAAGCACCGGCUAACUACGUGCCAGCAGCCGCGGUAAUAC